UUCGGAGGUACUCGAGUGGCGAACGGGUGAGUAACACGUGGGCAAUCUGCCCUGCACUUCGGGAUAAGCCUGGGAAACUGGGUCUAAUACCGGAUAGUNNAGACCUCAAGACGCAUGUCUUCUGGUGGAAAGCUUUUGCGGUGUGGGAUGGGCCCGCGGCCUAUCAGCUUGUGGGUGGGGUGACGGCCUACCAAGGCGACGACGGGUAGCCGGCCUGAGAGGGUGUCCGGCCACACUGGGACUGAGAUACGGCCCAGACUCCUACGGGAGGCAGCAGUGGGGAAUAUUGCACAAUGGGCGCAAGCCUGAUGCAGCGACGCCGCGUGGGGGAUGACGGCCUUCGGGUUGUAAACCUCUUUCACCAUCGACGAAGGUCCGGGUUUUCUCGGAUUGACGGUAGGUGGAGAAGAAGCACCGGCCAACUACGUGCCAGCAGCCGCGGUAAUACGUAGGGUGCGAGCGUUGUCCGGAAUUACUGGGCGUAAAGAGCUCGUAGGUGGUUUGUCGCGUUGUUCGUGAAAUCUCACGGCUUAACUGUGAGCGUGCGGGCGAUACGGGCAGACUAGAGUACUGCAGGGGAGACUGGAAUUCCUGGUGUAGCGGUGGAAUGCGCAGAUAUCAGGAGGAACACCGGUGGCGAAGGCGGGUCUCUGGGCAGUAACUGACGCUGAGGAGCGAAAGCGUGGGGAGCGAACAGGAUUAGAUACCCUGGUAGUCCACGCCGUAAACGGUGGGUACUAGGUGUGGGUUUCCUUCCUUGGGAUCCGUGCCGUAGCUAACGCAUUAAGUACCCCGCCUGGGGAGUACGGCCGCAAGGCUAAAACUCAAAGGAAUUGACGGGGGCCCGCACAAGCGGCGGAGCAUGUGGAUUAAUUCGAUGCAACGCGAAGAACCUUACCUGGGUUUGACAUGCACAGGACGCGUCUAGAGAUAGGCGUUCCCUUGUGGCCUGUGUGCAGGUGGUGCAUGGCUGUCGUCAGCUCGUGUCGUGAGAUGUUGGGUUAAGUCCCGCAACGAGCGCAACCCUUGUCUCAUGUUGCCAGCGGGUAAUGCCGGGGACUCGUGAGAGACUGCCGGGGUCAACUCGGAGGAAGGUGGGGAUGACGUCAAGUCAUCAUGCCCCUUAUGUCCAGGGCUUCACACAUGCUACAAUGGCCGGUACAAAGGGCUGCGAUGCCGUAAGGUUAAGCCAAUCCUUUUAAAGCCGGUCUCAGUUCGGAUUGGGGUCUGCAACUCGACCCCAURAAGUCGGAGUCGCAUAGUAAUCGCAGAUCAGCAACGCUGCGGUGAAUACGUUCCCGGGCCUUGUACACACCGCCCGUCACGUCACGAAAGUCGGUAACACCCGAAGCCA
RNAcentral lists this ribosomal RNA (1354 nucleotides) under Mycobacterium sp. DWMJ-1067A1. Its description in RNAcentral is "bacterial SSU rRNA". It matches the Rfam family "Bacterial small subunit ribosomal RNA", at positions 80 to 1429 of the family's 1533-position model. Lineage: Bacteria; Bacillati; Actinomycetota; Actinomycetes; Mycobacteriales; Mycobacteriaceae. The record is from RNAcentral.